This 5405-nucleotide long non-coding RNA is filed under the name Sus scrofa (pig). Its description in RNAcentral is "lncRNA (ENSSSCG00025021368.1, ENSSSCG00055013707.1, ENSSSCG00065046333.1)". The record is from RNAcentral. Lineage: Eukaryota; Metazoa; Chordata; Mammalia; Artiodactyla; Suidae.
UUUUUUUUUUUUUUUUGAUCUUUGUUUCAGUGUUCCUUUCUCCAUAUUUUUUGGCCUGGAACCCAGAGUAGACAUCUUCUGCAUGUAUAACUAUCAUUUCUUAGUUUGGCAAUACUUCACUAAUUGGCCGUAUGACUAAAGUUGUCCUGUGCUAUAAUGUCCUUUAAGUUGGAUGAAACAUAGUAUCAGCAGUUGGAAUCACUAGAAAGCGUGAUUGGUUACCAUGGUAUAAGAAAGGUGGCUGUAAUGGGUGGUUGCUCAGGUACAGACCCAUUCCUGGUCCAUCUGAAUGCACUUGAAUAUGUUGGCUGAAACUCUUCCUUGAGAACAUCACUGAAGAGGCUACUGAUAGGCUCAUGCAUCCUGGCUGGAGAAGGCAAAGGACAUAAAAACAAGUCAACAACUGACCAGUGACACAUAAAGGGCACAAAGAUGUAGUUUACCAUGAAACACCUUAUUUUGUCGAAGGGAAGUUUUUGUGAUGGCAAAUAGCUACAGGAAAGGCAGGAGAAUAAAUUCUAGCCUAUAUAAUGAUUAAAUAAUUUGGGGGAAGGGUGUUCAUUUUUUAAACCUUGGAGUUAGAGCCAUCAAACUAAUGUUGCAUCAAAAUGUUUGAGGUCCAAGGAUUUUGUUCUGUUGUAUGGUGAUUGAAUGUCAAAAGCCAGGUAUAAAUGACGAGUAAAAGUGAUGAGCUGAAACCAUAACCUGCCCGUGGCAGAAACUUACUUUGUCCCUCCACCUCCAAAAUCUUUUUUUUUUUUUUUGUCUUUUUACCAUUUCUUGGGCCACUCCCACACCAUAUGGAGGUUCCCAGGCUAGGGGUCGAAUCGGAGCUACAGCUGCCCAGCCUAUACCACAGCCACAGCAACACAAGAUCCAAGCUGUGUCUGUGACCUACCCCACAGCUCUUGGCAACACCAGAUCCCCAAUCCGCUGAGCAAGGCCAGGGACCAAACCUGCAACCUCAUGGUUCCCAGUCAGAUUUGUUAACCACUGAGCCACGAGAAUCUUAGAAACUUUACAAUUUUUCGGGUGCCCAUGAGACCUGGCUGCUGUCUUGUCUAAAAAGGAACCGGAAUGGGUAAGCAUUUUCAAGCAGUUAUAUUUUUUAUGCAGUAUGGCUAUAGCAAUUCACAGUAUUAGGUUGUUAGAUUGUGUUUAUCUCAUACAGACUCCUUUCUCUUUUUCCUCCUCUUGGAUCUCACACUCUUAGGAGCUAAGAUCAGGCACAAAGAAGUCCAUUCCCUUCCAGUACUCCUGCUAGAGUCUUCUCGGGAUGUCUUGCUAACCCUUAUCUCCUGACACAUCAUCUCUUGAAAAUAGCCUUCUAGAUUUCUUUGGCCCUAAAGUUAAAACUUUCUUUUUCUUUUGAGAACCUUUGAAAAAUAUCCUCUGUCCCAAAUAAGAAUCUAAAGCCUGAAACCAGUACUCCUUAACCCAUCACAGGCCACCAUAGCUUUAUACCCUGGAUAACUUCGUAUGAUUUAGCGUUCCCUUCAUUACAAAGGAAAGUGUAAAUUAAGUAUAUAGAAAUAAUAUUUGCAUUGAUUGAGCAACCAUUGAAUGCCACAUCCUAUAUUAUACCCUUAAUAUUCAUUCUGUGGUCUUCACAAUAACCCAAUGAAGUAAGUUCCAUAUUCAGCUUUUAUAGAUAAGGAAUUAUAGCUUAAGUUGAAAUUCUCAAAGCUGAAAAGUUAGGGAGAUGUAGGGUUAGAAACUGAACUCCUAUCUUUCUGAUUCUGUAUAUUCAUGACUUCUGCCUCCAGUUAUAUUGCCCACUAGAGAUUUUUCUAAGGAUGAAAUUUAAAUAUUACUGUACUAUUGAUACUCACCAACAGAUUAAUGGUUUUACCUGUUUCUUCCUGCACAUACUCAGUAGUCAUCCAAGCAUGAGUUCUUAACCCCUUAAUAAUUUUAUAUAUCAUUAGAUGCAUGCUAGGUAGUUUACUUAUGUUAUUUUUCUCUAAUCCUAAUAAUAAUCCUGGUUUACUAGUUUGUUAGUUUGUUUGUUUUUCCCUUGUGCCUUGUAGGUUAAAGCGCUUCCCUUCAUUCUGGUGUAUGACUUCUUGUCAAAUGUGUUAGGAAUGGGCGAGGUUGUGCUGAGGUAACAGAAGACCCCACCUCAUUGGUUUCACACCUCAAAGGCUCAUUUCUUCUUCUCACCAUGUGUCCAUUGCAGGUUGGAGGACUCUACCCCAAAGGGACCUGGGCUGUCAGAGCAGCAUCUAUGGGGACGUUGCUGAUCUUGGCAUAGGAGAAAGACGUCAGUGUGGAAGACAGGAUAGCCAUAAAGCUACCCUCUGCAACUGACAGAAGUCACUUGUGUUCAUUCUAUUAACCAUGUCAAUUCCUAUGGCCAAGUCUGAUGUCAGUGAGGCAAGAAAAUAGUCUUCUCUCAGAGAGGAGCAGUGAAUAUUUGGAAUAGCUUAACACUGUCUAUGAAAUUACAUAUGAAAUCUCAUCAUAUCUCAACACUAUGGUCUAUCGAGUCUUUUUAGUGGGUAAUUCAAACCUUCAGAGAGAUUAGAAAGGAUAGGUGGCAAGAAGAAGGGAACUAAGCUGCAAGGAAUUUUCUCAAGGGCUACUUGAGCGGCUUCUAUAAGAAUGACCUCCAGGAUUUUUGUCCUUUCACAAAUAGGUUUCUUCUCAUUUAUUGCUUUUGCUAAAAUGAAUUUUAGGCAUUAUCAAAAGGGAAUUUAUACAUGGUACUAUUGCCUUUUUGAAUUUAGAAUAUAUAUUUAGAAUUUGGAAUCGCUUUCUCUGGUGUCAGUUCUGCAGCUGAUUUUUUUUAAUGUGUUAUGUGAGCAAAUGUAGAUUGUAACUAUAAACACAGUGCAAGGAAGAAGCAGACCCAUCUGUCUCUUUCAAACUUGAUUAGGGAAGGGUGUGCAGAUGAUAUUUUUAGUAUGGUCUUAAAAUUAAGGUUAAGUUGCUUUGAAGCAAGUUGACUACCAGAGAUUUAUUCAUUUUGAGGGUUAAGAUAAAACAAAUAGAAAAUAUAUACACAUUCCCAAAGACACAUUAUGUUGCUCCUUUAAAACCACAUUUAUUUUUUGAUUGCAUGGGAAAUAACAUUUGCAAGCAUAGAGAGCUUUCCUCCUCUGACUUUGGUGAUAGAAAUUUUGAAAUGGCAAACAAUUUUAUUACCUGUAGUUAAUACUAUUGGCAAGAAUUGAACAUGCUAGCAGGGAAAAGUCUAUAUACUACCAUGCACUUAUAAAUGAAAAAAAAAUUAUAAUACAGUAAUAUAAACAUCAUAGAUAAAAUUCAAUAAUGAAUGUAAGAAAAAAAGUGGUUUUUCCAGUUGUUCUAGAUCAAAUUUUAAUAGUUUAUCUGAAAGACUUCUCUAUCAAGUCACCAUCUUAUUAAAUUAAGUGACCCCCCCCAAAAAAACAAAUACAAGACUAACUUUAUUUUUUCCUCUUCUUCCAUUACCAUGGGAAACAGAAAAAUGCCAAACAAUCAGAUAAAUAGUCAGAUGCUCGGUUUAUUGAGAAAAACACUGGGAAGGGCCAUUAGUGGCUCUGAUGAGGAAAAAUUUUAAAAGAAAAGAGAGCUGAGGAAAGGUUCAUUUGUACCGUAUAUUAGAUUCCAGAUAUAAGUGAUAUCAUAUGCUAUUUGUCUUUCUCUUUCUUACUUACUUCACUUAGUAUGAGAGGACUAGGAAUUUGACCUAGAUGCAAACUAUUGCCUUUGGAGUGGAUAAACAAUGAGAUCCUGCUGUAUAGCACUGGGAACUAUAUCUAGUCACCUAUGGUGGAGUAUAAUAAUGUGAGAGAAAGAAUGUAUAUAUGUAUGUGUGACUAGGUCACCUUGCUAUACAGUAGAAUAUUGACAGAACACUGUAAACCAGCUAUAAUGGAAAAAAAUAAAAAUAAUUUUUAAAAAAGAUUAGAGCACAUAAAUAUAACAUUUAAAAUACUGAAAAAAAGAGCGAAAAAAUCGAGGUGGCAGUGGAUUUAUGAAACAACAAAUAGUUUUUGAUGUAGAGAGAGCAAUAAAGCCAAAGGUUAGGAUAUUUCAGUUACUGCACAACAUAUUUUACAUUUUUAAUUCCCCCUCCCCAUUCUCCUGGAUGGGAAUGGUGGGUUCCAUGUGAGAAUAAAAAGAAGAGGCUAAUAGCAAGCAGUUGGCUAACUUGCCCAAAGUUUCAGUUAGAAUAUCAAUAGAGCCAAAGUUAAUUAAACCCAUUCAUCUGUUUUCUCUUUCAACAAAUAUUUAUUGAGUGUUUUCUAGGCACUGUUCUAAGUGAUGAGAAUACUACAAUGAAUAAGAGAAGAACCCUCCUGUCCUAUGGGGCUGAUAGUCAUGGUUUCCUGUUUUGUUUUGGGAAUGAUACAUUUUUGGGGAAUUAAAUAUUAUAUGCCCCCCGAUACAUAAAGCAGAUAAAAAUAAAGCUGCUCUGUUUAAGGUGAGGAUAAGGAGCUGGAAAUUCUUCCCAAUCAACACUUCCCUUGCCUCCUUUUUCAUUUCACAGAUACCUACUUAGAAAGUCCCUACACCCUGAUCUUGCUAGCAGAACAGGAGAGACCAGUGUGGGAAAGGCAGGUGGGUCCAGAUGGUGAGGAAGUAUGAAAGAACAGGUUUAUGAUGUAAUUGAAUUAGUAUUGGAAUGAGGUUAUCAGAGACUGGUGAGCAGGAGAAAUUUGAAGGAAACAACAGAAGGCCAGAAAACCUCAUAGGACACUAUCUCAGUAGUCUGCCUGAACUAGUGGAGAGAGUAGUGGACACUGGGUAGAUUCAGAAGGAUUCAGAAGAUGUAAUGGGUCAGCAUUACAACUGAUAUCAUGCAUUAGAGAGACAUCCUAUGUUUGAGGGCAGAAUAUGAGUUUGGAAUCAGAGAAUCCAGGUACAUAGCCUGGCCUUCGUGCUUACUUUGUAACUUUGGUCAAAUUCCUAAUUCGGCCUGAGCCUCGGUCUCCUCAUCUGAAGAAUGGGUAUAAUAAAACCUAUUUGGGAGAAUUAAAGACAAGGCAUGUGAAGUCCCAAGAAUAAUGCAGUCAUCUACAAAGUACCAUCCCAUCACCACCAGUUGUUCUAAGAUUUUCUAGGGAAUGUCUCAUGAAUACUCAAGAAAAAGUUCUAUUAUUUUUUACUAUUAUCAGUACCACCAUUUCUUCCUCUCUAGUAAGAGUAGAUGCAGUGAAGAACUGAUUAAAGUUGGUGUACCAUCUAUUAUUAUGAAAAACAGUGAGAGAGAUAGAAUCUAAAUCUGAUUUGGCUAAUGGUAGAGCCAUGGCCAAAAAGUAAUCCGGGACUUACAGACAUACUUACGUAUAUGAAAGAAUUGAAGUAUGUUUAUUGCAGUUUUGUUUGAGGUAGCAAAAGACUCGGAAAAACUUAAAUGUCCAUCAACAAGAACUGAUGAAAUAAAUAAAAGUGUACCUAUACAAUGGAACACUAUC